Molecule: ribosomal RNA, 492 nt
Filed under: uncultured bacterium
Lineage: Bacteria
Description: partial 16S ribosomal RNA
Rfam family: Bacterial small subunit ribosomal RNA
Source: RNAcentral
AGUGAACGCUGGCGGUAGGCCUAACACAUGCAAGUCGAACGGCAGCACAGUAAGAGCUUGCUCUUACGGGUGGCGAGUGGCGGACGGGUGAGGAAUACAUCGGAAUCUACUUUUUCGUGGGGGAUAACGUAGGGAAACUUACGCUAAUACCGCAUACGACCUACGGGUGAAAGCAGGGGAUCUUCGGACCUUGCGCGAUUGAAUGAGCCGAUGUCGGAUUAGCUAGUUGGCGGGGUAAAGGCCCACCAAGGCGACGAUCCGUAGCUGGUCUGAGAGGAUGAUCAGCCACACUGGAACUGAGACACGGUCCAGACUCCUACGGGAGGCAGCAGUUGGGAAUAUUGGACAAUGGGGGCAAGCCUGAUCCAGCCAUACCGCGUGGGUGAAGAAGGCCUUCGGGUUGUAAAGCCCUUUUGUUGGGAAAGAAAAGCAGCAGGUUAAUACCCCGCUGUUCUGACGGUACCCAAAGAAUAAGCACCGGCUAACUUCGUG